CGACUUUAGAGACGGAGGAAGGGAUUGAGAUGAAGAAGAAUGAUCGGAGUCGGGAAGAUGAAGCUAUUGCCUAACGUCCUCGACAGGCCUCUCAGCAACGGAAAACAAGAGGUCAGUUUGGGUGCAUUUCGGAGCUUGUGCAAUACAUCCAGACACAGGUUGAAAACAUUGCCUAGCUAGAAACAAGGCGAUUCACGUUCGUGGUAUUUCGGUAGCUGCUCACUUGAGAAAGGCACUCAACAUGAGGACGAGUACAUGAUUAGUGAGAACGAACUACGGCAAGGGAGAAGUUGAUCGAAACCGAAGAACAAAGAACUCGAUUUCAGGGAUUGUUCCGUUCAUUCCCACUCUACAAUAUAUGCCCUUAAGAAUUGUGCAUUUUUUGAAGAAAAAGAAAAGAAAGUAUGAUCUAUCGAGCAGUGAGGAGAGCCAUGUUGGAUGUGUGUUCAAGGGGAUGGCCUUUAUUGUAUCAAUACAAUUCAUGUUCCUUUGUUGUGUCUCUUGUUGGCCUAAAAAUGGCUAUUAAUGCUCAUUAUCAAAUAUUACUCUA
Long non-coding RNA from Rosa rugosa (rugosa rose), 550 nucleotides. RefSeq lists it as uncharacterized. The transcript has 3 exons. NCBI's taxonomy places the organism in Eukaryota, Viridiplantae, Streptophyta, Magnoliopsida, Rosales, Rosaceae. The record is from RefSeq and is a predicted model, not a curated record.